UACGUAGGGCGCAAGCGUUAUCCGGAAUUAUUGGGCGUAAAGAGCUCGUAGGCGGUUUGUCGCGUCUGCCGUGAAAGUCCGGGGCUCAACUCCGGAUCUGCGGUGGGUACGGGCAGACUAGAGUGAUGUAGGGGGAGACUGGAAUUCCUGGUGUAGCGGUGAAAUGCGCAGAUAUCAGGAGGAACACCGAUGGCGAAGGCAGGUCUCUGGGCAUUAACUGACGCUGAGGAGCGAAAAGCAUGGGGAGCGAACAGG
RNAcentral lists this ribosomal RNA (255 nucleotides) under uncultured bacterium. RNAcentral describes it as "partial 16S ribosomal RNA". It matches the Rfam family "Bacterial small subunit ribosomal RNA", at positions 524 to 776 of the family's 1533-position model. The record is from RNAcentral.